Molecule: long non-coding RNA, 2672 nt
Filed under: Sus scrofa (pig)
Lineage: Eukaryota; Metazoa; Chordata; Mammalia; Artiodactyla; Suidae
Description: lncRNA (ENSSSCG00000055174.1)
Source: RNAcentral
UUUUUUUUUUCCCUUUUUAGGGCUGCACCUGCAUCAUAUGGGAGUUCUUGGGCUAGGGGUUGAAUGAGAGCUGCAGCUGCAGCCCUACACUACAGCCAUGGCAACACUAGAUCUGAGCCACAUCUGUGACCUAUGCCAGAGCUGGCAGCAAUGCCAGAUCCCUAACCCACUGAGUGAGGCCAGGGAUCAAACCCACAUCCUCUCAGAGACAACUUUGAGUCCUUAACCCACGGAGCCACAAUGGGAACUCCUCUUUUGCCAUUUUCAUAAUAGCCAUUCUAACAGGUGUAAGAUGAUAUCUCAUCGUGGUUUUAAUUUGUGAUGCUUAGUGAUGUUGAGCAGUUUUUCAUGUACCUGUUGGCUAUUUGACUGUCUCCUUUCAAGAACAUUGCUUUUCUGCUAUCAUAAAUCUAUGUAUUAUGUGGAAAGCAUAGUGAAGACUGUCAGCUGAAGUACUACAAAAAAAACAACUUUCACAUUGCCAUAAAUGUUUAAAUAUGCAUAUUAACUCUUCUAUAUGAUAACUUGGAUGUUUUUAUUUUAUACUAUUUUUUGUAAUAAAAAUUUAAGUCAUAUAACAAAUGAAUGAUUAACACCUGUAUUUAAUUGGCCCAUUAUCCUCACUGAUUUUACCACUUAAUUGAGGUGAAGAGUAUGAAUAAGUCUGAGUCCUUUCCUUUGUUUUGAAUAGGAAUGGUCUUAGAAAAUUUUCAUGUGUUGCAUAGGGCAUCUGCAGAGUAGUUAAGAUGACAACAACUAUGACUUCAAAUUGAAAAAAGAUACGGUUUUUCCAUGGAAGUGUGGAAUUGUAUCAAAUUGUUUAAAAAAUAUAGAUCCAUACACCUAAUCAAUAAUGAUCACUCAUCAGUAAGUAUGCCCUCUAUGUUUCACAAGCACUCUAUUUUAGAAUCAGUGAUCCACUUAAUGUUUGUUAUGAACACGGCUGUCAAAAUUAUUUUCUCUCAAUAUUAGUAGUACCUCAAGAACAAUCAUAUUACAGAGAGAAAAAAAAAAAGAAAAGAAAUGGUAAUGGAAUGCUCAUCUGACCUCUCAGGCUAUGGUCCAACUACACAAUAAUGAUGUUUAAAAGGUGAGAUUGUGUAUGCAAACACUUUUGCCAAAGUUGCACUGCUUUUUUUUUUUAAUUUUUUUUCCACUGUACAGCAGGGGGACCAGGUUACACAUACAUGUAUGGGUAAUUUUUCCUCCCAUUGUCGUGUUGCAAUGUAAGUAUCUAGACAUAAUUCUCAAUGCUACACAGCAAGAUCUCAUUGUGUAUUGCUUUUUUUAAAAAAAUCAUUAUAGUUGAUUUACAAUGUUUUGUCAAUUUCUAUUGUACAGCAAAGAGACCUAGUCAUACAUACAUAUACAUUCCCCUUCUCAUAUCAUCUUCCAUCAUGUUCCAUCAGAGGUGUUUGGACAUAGUUCCCUGUGCUACACAGCAGGAUCUCAUUGCUUAUCAUUUUAUUUCUUCUAAUUGAAUUAACUAGGGAAUUCAGUAAGGCCAUCAGAGAAAUUCCUUUAAAUAAAUUAAUAUUCACUAAAUAGACAAACUCAAUUUGUUGUUGUUGUUUUUUAACUAAAAAUCUUUAUCUUGCCAACUGUGCUGGUGUUGAGUAGUAGCAAGGGUCUCCGUAUAUUUUAAACCAGAUGCUCACUAAAUACACAUGAGAACAAACCUUCAUCAGCAAUACAGACAAUGUCUCAGAAUGAAAGAAAACUAAAUAUAAAUGUAUGUAUUUUUGUUUGCCCCUGGGCAGAAUUUUGCUGUUCUUCUGUGUGAAUAUUUUAUUGUUACAUCUUAUAAAGAGAUUUCUUUCAGAGUGGAAAUUCUGAGACAUCCAUGCCUUUUAAAUAUUUAAAAUAUAUAUUUAAAUGUAGUUUAAAUAAUUUGGCCCUUUUCUAUAAAAUUACAACAUAAAAUGUCCAAAAUAAUGAAAAACAUUAAGUAAUUGCCAACAUGAAGUACUUUAGAUAUUUACAAAAACGUAAUUUCAGAGCAUAUUACCUUUAAAUUUUCGUAAUGAUAAAAACAUACUGCAAUGGUAAAAUUUAACAGAUGAAAAAUCUUAACUCCUAAAAAGGUAGAGUACAAGAAAAAAAUUUUACUAAGUAAAGAGCAAAUAGUAAUACCUAGUACACAGCCUCUGUCCUCAAGAAGCACACAGGCUCUAAGGAAGUAAUUACAAUAAGUAAAAUAAUAGAACAGAGCUUUCACAAACUACAAGUAGUAGAAUACCUGAGUCCCAUAGAUGCUCUGCAUUGUGUGAAAAAAUGGGUUUCCUAGAGAAAUAUACACGGGAAACACCGUAUAUUAUAUAGCUCAUUCUUAAAACAUUCACAGUGAGCACAAGAACUGAAAAGACACUGACUUUCCUAGAAAAAAACACCUGUGAAUUUUUUUUAAUUUACAAUUUCUCAAAUUUUUGGACUAGAGGAAAGUCCCUGCAAUAACAUUUGUUAUUGUAUUCUACAGUUUCCUCAGAACAUGGUUUGGAGAGUAUUUCAAUAGAAGUAUAAAUUAGGCAGAGUGACUGCAUACAAGGGGAAGCUUUCAAAACAUGGAAAUGACAGAGGUAGAUCUUGAAGAAGGAGUAGAAUUUUGCUAUACCCAAGAGAGAAGAAAAGUCUGGGCAAAAUACAAAAGCAUGUGUAAAUUCCCAGAGUCACGG